UACGGGGGGAGCAAGCGUUGUUCGGAUUUACUGGGCGUAAAGGGCGCGUAGGCGGCCACCGCAAGUCGACUGUGAAAUCUCCGGGCUUAACCCGGAAAGGUCAGCCGAUACUGCGGGGCUAGAGUGCAGAAGGGGCAACUGGAAUUCUCGGUGUAGCGGUGAAAUGCGUAGAUAUCUGGAGGAAUACCGGUGGCGAAGGCGGCAUCCUGGACCGACAUUGACGCUGAUGAGCGAAAGCUAGGGGAGCAAACGGG
This 254-nucleotide ribosomal RNA is filed under the name uncultured bacterium. RNAcentral describes it as "partial 16S ribosomal RNA". It matches the Rfam family "Bacterial small subunit ribosomal RNA", at positions 524 to 776 of the family's 1533-position model. The record is from RNAcentral.